This 36757-nucleotide long non-coding RNA is filed under the name Setaria italica (foxtail millet). RNAcentral's name for it is "long non-coding RNA (SITA_LNC006476)". The record is from RNAcentral. Lineage: Eukaryota; Viridiplantae; Streptophyta; Magnoliopsida; Poales; Poaceae.
CCCACAGGAACGGCCGGCCGGUGAGCUCCAGCCCCAGCGCGAGCUCCUCGAACUGGUGCGGGUUGAAGACGGUGAAGCUGCCGAACGCCACGUACACGACUGAGCGAUCGGGCCACGCGUCGAGCCACUCGAGGCAUCUGGCGUCCUCGGGCAGGAAUUGCCCGACCGGCUUCUUGAACUGCACGUCGGCGAACAGGGGGCCGACGGGCAGAAUGUCGGGGUACAGCUUGAACGCGGCCGGCUCGGCGUCUCCGAACGAGUUGCAGACGGUGACCUCGGCGAGGUCCUUCGCCUCGUUGUUCCGGACCACCAGCUGGAAGAUGGCCGGUUGGUCCUUCGGCGCGCCGGCGUUGUUCCACGACAGAUGCGACGUGUGGAGCGGCGGCAUCCCGGGCGCGAACUGGAACGUCUCCUGUCGCUUUGGCCAGCCUGCGCUUGUCCAAGAACCACGAAUCAGAACGCAAGUCAUCAUAAAUAAAAAUCGACUGUUUGUCAGAAAUUCUUCUUUUGGCGGUUUUACUAAUUGUUCAGCUCUCGCCUGACACCUUUCUCGUCGAUGACGCCGUCCUGUAUCAGCUGCGGAAUUCUUAACAUCGAGGCGAGAAAUGCCGCCGACCCUGUCCAGAAGCAGGCGGCCCUGAUGCCGAGCUUCUUGGCGACCUCGAACGCCCACCCCAUGCCCUCGUCGGCAACGAGCCAACUGAUCUUUGUGCCCCCGGACGCCUCAAUCCUCCCGACGAGCUCCUCAAGGUAGCACGGCAUGUGCUGCGAGAGUGCGUCCACGAGCUUGCCGAGGUCCUUGCGGUCGUCGCCGUCUGCCAGCCCGUCCGGGACGCCCACCAGGCGUAUGCCGUCGAGCGACGGACAGCCAGCUCCGUUCGCCGCCAUGGCGUCGAGCACGAGCGUGUGGUUGGCCUCGGUGUUGACGAAGGUGACCUCGAUGCCGUGCUCGACGAGACGGUGGGAGAGCUGCAUCAGAGGGAUGAUGUGGCCCUGCGCAGGGAAGGGCAGGGCCAGGACGUGGGGAGCCGCCAUGGCGGGAACCGGGAAGGUCGGAAGCCAAACCAAGACGUGGCUCAGCAGCAGAAUGCCUUUGCCUGAGGGGUUAGGUACUAGUGGCUUGUGGUUGCUGUUUUGUCCUCGUCUCCAUGGGUCUCUCUACGGCUUGGCUAUAUCGAAGAUUGCUGGAUGGAUAUAGCCAAAUGAACCAGAGCCAGAGAAUCCAGCACUGCACACUCGCGUCCCAACAGAAACUGAGGAAACCACUUCAUCAUGCCAUUCACGGUCGAUUUGGCGCACGUGGGCAUGCUGUACGCCGUCAACAUUUUUGAAGAGAUCGUUAUCAUUUCAAUUUUCAAGCGUUAACAUUCAGUACACGGAUCUCGAAUUCACUAGAAGACCAGAUAUGAUACUCCAAAGGAAAGUGACAUAUGGACCCACUGCCACCUAUCAUGGUACCAAAUGUGUGGAGCCUACUGCCACAUCACAUGAAAUCAUAGUCAAAACUAGCUAGGGAUAUAAUUUGUGUGGUAUUGUAAAGUUUAGAGUGUAGACUAUCUUGUUUUGUGGCUAGAUGAGGAAAAUCAAACGAGGGAUAGUUUAGGUUACCAAAUGGAUUUGUUUCUUCAAAAGGUAGUGGCUCCAGGGACUCUAGCUGGGCAAAGCUAACGGGCAUGCGCAUGAGGUCGCUAGCCCUCAAUUCUCGGUAGCCCUCCUCACUUUCCCCCUCGACCUUUUCAUUUUUGGAAAGUUUUAAUUCCCACAACUUUUUAUUUAUGCACAUUCGUACACAUAAUUUUUUAGCAUACAGUUGGAGACAGAGAGGGCAAGUAGUGGUUGGAUCCGACAUUAGAGCGAUCGAUCCCGUGGUGGAGCAACUUCAAGGCAAUAGCAACAGCCACAAGGUGGCGAUUCAAAGAUUAGGAGGAAAUAUUGAGGGUAGUGGGAGUGAGAUGGCCAGCAAACCAGGAUGUGGCAGUCGAUGGUGUCAUGAAUAUGAGAUAUUAGAAAGAGGUCAUGUGCAACCAUGCAUCCACAUGCAUGAAUACUGAGAUGAGACAAGUAAAUAGGUAGGCAUGUGCAUGAAUUUAAAAGGAAGAAGCAAUUUGGAAGGGUUAAGGUUACGAUUUUCAUCUAAUGGGUGUAGACUUGGCUCAAAUUGUGAGAAAUAGAGUUUGGUUAUCAUACGUGAUAUGUAUUGUUACAUUUAGAAUAUCUAUGUCUUGUAGAUAGAAGGUUGUUAGGAUUAUUUACUUAUAAAUCAAGGAUGAUUGUAACUUAUCUGUAAGCCACGGAUGGGGCUGUUCCAUCCCUAUAUUAACAUGCAGAGUGCGCACGGCAUGGGUGCAGCACUUUAACCCAAAACUACUUCCGCACCUCAGAUUAACUUUCAUGGUCAUCAGAGCCUAGAUUCAAUCUACUCCUAAAACCUCCACCUUCCAAUGGCUAGCUCAUCGGCAAUUCCAUCCAACCCAAUGCUCAGAAGCGGUGUCUUCGAGAAACUCACCAGGGUGAAUCAUGCCCUCUAGAGAGCUCAGGUGCGUGCUGCAGUUCCUGGUGCCAAACUUGAGGGUCACCUCACAGGCACGUCGAAAGCACCUAUCAAGGAGAUUGAAGAUAAAGAUGGGAACAAGAAUCCCAAUCCCGCCUUUGAGGAGUGGGAUGCCGUGGAUCAGCAAGUCCUCGGCCUUCUCCUCACGUCGGUGUCCAGGGACAUCCUCAUCAACAUCGCCAAUAGCAAGAUGGCGACAAAAGCCUAGACAACCAUCGAGGGGAUGUUUGCUGCACAGACUAGAGCUCACGCGGUAAAUCUUUGCAUCGCCCUAUCAACUACGAAAAAAGGGUAGCAUGAUAGCAGCCGAAUAUUUCGGCAAGAUGAAGGGGCUCAGCGAUAAUAUGGCAGCUGCAGGAAGACCGCUUGAAGAAGAAGAGAUCGUUGAGCACAUACUCAUGGGGCUGGACCAAGAGUUCACCCCAUUGGUGUCUGUCUUGGUUGCUCGACGAGAAUCAAUCUCACUGGGAGAACUCUACUCCCAGAUGCUCAGCUUUAAGACUUGACUUGGUCUUCUCCAGGAGGGAGGACAGUCAGGGUCGUCAGUGAACUACGAUGGCCGUGGCCCAGGAUCUAGGAAUCAACGCGGGUGUGGAGGAGGCCGUGGUCACGGCUCUAGUCGUGGCCGUGGCUCCAACAGCAGCAACAACCCACCUUGUCAGGGAGGCGGCAACUUCUCCAAGAACCGCGCCAGCUUCAGCAACAACUCCAGUGGUGAUGUUCGCCCCUUGUGCCAAGUCUGUUUCAAGAAGGGCCACACAACCGAUAGAUGUUGGCACAAGUAUGAUGAAAAUUAUGUGCCAGAUGCAAAGCUUGUGGCUGCAGCGACAUCAUCCUACACGGUGGACACAAAUUGGUACACCGACACGGGAGCUGCUGAUCACAUCACAGGAGAGUGAGAGAAGCUAUCAUUCCGCAACAAGUACACUGGGAAUGACCAAGUUCACACUGCAAGCGGUGUAGGUAUGGAUAUUAGUUAUGUUGGUCAAUCUACUAUUCAUACCCUGAAUCAUAAUCUUGAAUUAAAUAAUAUUCUACAUGUUCCUAAUGCUCAAAAAGAUCUUGUUUCCGUUCAUUGCCUUACCACCGAUAACAAUGUUUUCCUUAAAUUUCAUCCCAAUUUCUUCUUAUUAAAGGACAAGGACACGAGGAACAUUCUACUUAAAGGAAGAUGCAGCAAGGGUCUCUAUCCUCUUCCUCCCACAUCAUCUGAGAAGCAAGCUUUUGGAGUAAUAAAGCCAUCUCUAUCUAGAUGGCAUAGUCGUCUCGAGCACCCUGCAUCUCCUAUAGUUGAAAAGGUUGUUAGGAAAUUUGAUCGUCCAUGUUCUUAUGAGUCUAAUAAAGGGUCGGUUUGUGAUGCUUGCCAACAAGCCAAAAGUCAUCAACUACCUUACCCGAAAUCCUCUAGUGUGUCUAGUCACCCAUUGGAACUCGUUUUCUCUGAUGUAUGGGGGCUGCACCUGAUUCCGUUGGGAGAUACAAAUAUUAUGUGAGCUUUAUCGAUGAUUAUAGCAAAUUUACUUGGAUUUAUCUCUUGCAAUUUAAAUUUGAAGUUUUCCAAAAUCUCCAUGAAUUUCAAAGCCUUGUUGAGCGCUUGUUUAAUAGGAAGAUUAUCACCAUGCAAACCGAUUGGGGAGGUGAAUAUGAGAAACUUCAUUCUUUCUUUACCAAAGUAGGAACUACUCAUCAUGUGUCAUGUUCUCAUGCACAUCAACAGAACGGGUCAGCAGAGCAAAAGCAUAGACAUAUAGUUGAAGUUGGUCUUUUCCUUCUAGCUCAUGCAUCUAUGCCCCUAAAAUUCUGAGAUGAAGCCUUUCUUGCAGCAACUUUUCUUAUAAAUAGAACUCCUACUAAGGUUCUCCAAUAUGACACACCCACGGAGCGUUUGUUUCAGGUCUAGCCCGACUACUCAUCCUUGAGAGUUUUUGGGUGCUCCUGCUGGCCUAACUUGCGUCCUUUUAAUACCCGCAAACUCCAAUUUCGCUCCAAAGAAUGUGUGUUCUUGGGAUACAGUAACCUACACAAGGGGUUUAAGUGUCUCAGAUAUUUGAAGCAAUCAACUAAGAUUGGAUUGAAAAUUAGUAAGAGCAACUCACUGCUUGUGAGCGGGUUCUCUGAUGCAGAUUGGGUUCUCGACAGGAGGCUUUGCUAUUUUUCUAGGGACUAAUCUUAUGUCUUGGAGUGCACACAAACAAGCUACUGUGUCAAGAUCGAGCAUAGAAGCAGCUGCAGCAAAUGCCACAGUUGAAAUUAUGUGGAUACAGACACUUCUAAAAGAGAUUGGUAUAUCACAUCCUCCAAUGGCAAAAAUAUGGCGUGACAACAUUGGAGCCAAGUAUCUAUCAGCUAAUCCUGUGUUCCAUGCUAGAACUAAACAUAUUGAAGUUGAUUAUCAUUUUGUACGAUAAAGAGUUUUGAAGAAAUUAUUAUGUAUUGAUUAUGUACCUAUACUCUGAUUGAGGGAGGGUGUAAGAAAUAGAGUUUGGUUAGCAUAAGUGAUAUGUAUUGUUACAUCUAGAAUAUCUAUCCUUGGUAUUGUAGAUAGAAGGUUGUUAAGAUUAUUUACUUGUAAACCAAGGAUGAUUGUAACUUAUCUGUAAGUCACGGAUGGGGCUGUUCCAUCCCUAUAUCAACACGGCAUGGGUGCAUCACUUUAACCCAAAACUACUUCUGCAUCUUUGAUUAACUUUCACAAAUAUCUAAUUACCGAGCAAAAGCUAACGUCCAAUGUUUGGUCAGAUAUUUACGGAUGGUGCGACAAGGCCACCGAUAAAGCAAUAGAUUUACCGGAGUGGAUAUUGUUUUGCAAGAGCUAUGGUGAUAGGCCAACUUGCAGGCACGUCAUACAUGAGCAACUGACAAAUCUAUGAGAUUAUGUUUUAAAUAAUUAAUUAAUUAAAUUCAAAUAAAUUAAAUAACAUAUCUAUGUAUAGGCAAUACAUGUGUAAAUUUGGUUUUUAUAGUUAAUAGCAAAUCUACCCAUGCAUUGCUACGGGUACAUGAAAACUACAUCUAUAUAUUACCAUACUAUAUAAUAUGGUCUAUAUGUAGCUAAUCAUGUUUUAAAAUAACUCUAACCAUAUUUUAAUAUGACUUAAUAUGUACUUUUGAUGCUAUAUUUGGAUAAUUUAUAGAAGAGUAAUAGCUAUAGUUGAGUUUUAUUAGGUUGAGGAUCGGAAUGUGUGCAGUUGAGAGUUCUAAGAGUAAUAUCUAUUUAGAUGUUUGCAAAUUAAUCAAUUAAUGUAUGGACUUAUAAAUUAUGGUUAUGAACCACAAAUUUGAUUUUUUUCAUAUCAUUUUGUACCUUUUUUGGGAUAAUGUCUUGUGUGUUGAAUAUAAUCCAAUGAGAAGGACUGCAUUGAAACUUUUUAUUUAUUUCAAUGCCCUUGUUACCUACCUAAAGGACCUUUCUUUGGAAAAUAUGUUUGUAAAGGGCUGUCAUCUAAAAAUGCAACUCAUCUAAAAUAUCUCGUGUGACUCACCUGCUUGACUUGGUCGUGUGACUCCCCUGCAACUCAUCUAAAAAUAUGUUUGUAAAGGGUUCGCGUUCACCACUGUGUUGUCUUAGCUGGUUGACUACUUCAUGACUAUUUUUUGGAGCCUCGUGAUUGCCACCAUGGACUGCAACGUCUCUGCUGCCAUCCUGGUGGGCCAAGUUGUGAGGAAUAGAUGGGAUCGGUGAUUCCUUGUCAAGUAGUUUGUAAGCUUGUUCUGCGAGUUGUGCUAUUAACUCGUUGCCCCUUUCCGCGAGUUGUGUUGUUAACUCGUUGUCUCUGUCAUGUGGUAUGAGAGUUGAUAUGAGAUUGAUCGAGGCAAUUGCUGCAAGUGGAGUGUUGUGCUCUCGAGCUUGCACUGCAUCGAAUGCUCUUUUGAGGUUCACGAUAGGAAUGUUCGUAGCUAGUAGUUGGCGACGAUCUGCUCGCGCAGCAUUGCGUGCCCUUCUUUGAUUUCUCUGUUCAGAGGUUUCACCUUGCGGGGUGUUAGCUGACAACUCAUCUUGUGAGAUGUCAUUGAGUUGUCCAACCCGUCGAGGAGUUUUUUGGUGGCUGGCACCUACGUCGUUGUUUGGUGAUGUGAUGAUGAAGAUUUCUCUGUCCGGGUAGUAGCUUCUAGAGCUUGAUGUUGCAAUCUCCGUAGUGCUUCCUUCUUUGCGGGUUUAAGUAAGUGGGAUACCCUCUUGAUACGGGAGGUUGUCCAUGUGAGAGAUAAGGCGCGACUCAUAAUCUUGGGCAAGGAACAGUGGCUUUAUCCCAGGCCAAUAAACGAAUCUACUUUGCGGAGUCGAAGUAAUUACCAAGCCUUGAGCUGGGCCUGAUAAAGGGAUCUCUUGGAUGGAGUCUAAGUCGUAGUCACAGUCCUCGACUGACUCGAGUCCGGUUUGGACUCGAGUGAGGAGUUCUUGGUGGACCGCGGCUGCGUUGCGGAGUCUGAGCGGGAAUCGACUUCGGGUUGGAGUUAGUUUGCGUGAUGACUUUGACGCCAGCCGGCGUUUGCUAGUCCGAGUCGGGGUUGAGUCUAAGGCGUAGUUGAACUCGAUGUCAUUGACAUUGAACUUUUUGAUUUUCCUGACGAAAUCCUCUACUUCUUGACGAUCAGAGUUUUUGUCAGAACGCUUCAUCUCCUGGUUGUUGAUGAUGUAGCGUUGAAAAGAUCUAGCGUCAUCGAUGAUGCAGAGCCAGGAGCCAAAGAUGAAAGUUGCAUCUGCCUCGAAGGCAAACACUGGUUUGAUGAUGACUGGUGCCACCGAUCUCGCGCGGAGAAACUUGGCGACUUCACCUACCUGGCGCGCUAGCUGUCGGUGUUUUAGACCGGCAACCCGCCUAGGGAGUACCCAAGGUGGUCUUUUGUGUGGUAGGUGUCGUCGAGAAUCAAGGAGUUGAUGGUGAUGCAAGGAACACGGUUUAGACAGGUUCGGACUGCUAGAUCGCGUAAUACCCUACGUCCUGUGUGUUGGUUGUAUUGAACUUGUGUUGAGUUGUGCUUGCUCUCUGGAGGGGGUCCCUGCUCGCCCUUAUAUAGUCAGGGGAGCAGGGUUACAGGGCAGGACUUCUAGUCGAGUACAUUAUAGAGUCCUACUCUAACUCGGUAGAGUAGUUUCCUUUGGACCCGACUAGUCUUCGGGGGGUCCAGGAAGCCUACGCGCCCUGCAAAGUAGUCUUCAUGUCCGAGCAGGUUUCGGGUACGUUCGCCUGAUCGGGUCCAUACAAGUCUUACAAGUCUUCCGAUGGGCCCUAGGGUGCCCAGCCGACAACCAUCUCUACCACCGCGUCCGAACCAGCGCACCCGCCUCCGUUCCUACCUACCCAGCCAGCCACGCGUGGGCCCAGACCUUGCGUGUCCCCACAUGUCAUCGGUGCUCAACGUGUGGUCAUCUACUUAUCUACCCGCCCAUGCUUUCACCAUGGGAGACGGAAACCAACGAUGCUACCAUCCACACGUCACUUGAACGGAGCCGUUCCGUUUCAUUCCGUCCAACUGCGACUGCUACCUACUGCUCCGUGACUUUUCCCCUCUCUGUUCCCCACGCCAUGGCACCGCCCAUGGCCAGAGGUUGGUGCUGGGAGGGCAGGGCCAACAACAGCUUCGGCGGCUGUACCACCUGCCCUGCUGAGGUGGCGGUGGAGAGGUCGGGCUUGACGUCGGUGUCGGGGGCGUCAGGUAGCGGGAGGCGCUCGUAGACAACGUUGGCGAAGGUGGCGGCGAAGACGGUGAUGGGCCCCGCGGCGACGAGCGGCCCCACAAUGCAGUCGCCGACGACCUGGCCCUACCCGGUGGAGAGCAGGCCCGACACCUUGGGCGGCGCUCUCUUCCCUCUCCUUCUCCUCCGCCGGAUUCGACCGGCCCCCACUCCCUCUUCCCUCGCUCCUCCUCCCUCUCCCGGCCGAGGCGGCGCAGGCGGCUGGGGCCGAGGCGGGGCGGCGCGGCCGGGGCCGGGGAGACGGCUCGGGCAUGGCCGAGUGGGGCGGCGCGGCCGGGGCGGGCGGCCGGGCUGAGGUAGCACGGUGCGGCCAGGGCCGGGGAGGUGGCUUGGGCCUGACCGAGGCAGCUCGGGUGCGGUCGGGCGGGCGGCCGGGACCGAGGCGGGGCGGCACGGGAGCCCUCUGGACGGACGGAAUUUUUUUGGCAGAAGCUUUACUUGCUUUAAUAUUAGGUAGAGAUUUGACAAAUAAAGCAUAAAAAACACUUUGAGUACAAAUAUUUGAUGCACACAAAUGUGGCCGUAUGUACAGAAUAUCUUAAAUAAAUGUUGGAAGAGGGUAAAGAUAUAUAUAAGUGAAUUGUAAGAAGAACAUAGUAUUGAAUCUAGCUGCGCUAUUUGCGUGUCACUUUGCUAGUUCUUCAUAUGCUAGAGCUAGACCGUGACUGAAAUGAUCGUAGGGCGCACCUUGGCGGAGCAAAAUGCAGGUCACUGACGCAGGAGAUCGACCAACCUAUUGAAAUUCUCACGCGAGGAGCCGCCCUCGCCGAGGCACUUGGAAGCAGCAUCCCUCAGCAUCCUUGCCCUCUCCGCCAUCCCCUCGUCGCCGAUGACCCUUUCCUCCUUUGUCACGAUACCAUCUUCACCGGACGAUACCGCCAAGCCUGUCCUCCAGGUGUCGCAGAUGUAACUCCGGUUCGCGAACUGGUCGACGAAGUAUGGCCAGCACAGGAACGGCACGCCGUCCCUCACCCCUUCCAUCGUCGAGUUCCACCCGCAGUGCGACACGAAGCACGCCACGGCGCGGUGCGCCAGAACCUGAACGUUGAGACGAGGAGUAAGUCGAGAAAUCAGAACCACGAAUCCACGAUCAUGAGGGAGCAAAGAUGAACAUGGUCGAUCUGGUAACUACUACACCUGCUGCUGGGGGCACCAGCUGACCACCAUGCCCUUUCCGGCGACACGAUCCUUGAACUCGUCGAACCACGCCUCGCUCAGGUCGCCGGUCGUGAAGUCCGGGCGCACCACCCAGAGGAACGGGCGGCCAGUGAGCUCCAGCCCCUCAGCGAGCUCCGUGAACUGGCGCGGGUCGAAGAUGGCGAAGCUGCCGAACGCGACGUACACGACGGAGCCGUCGGGCUGCGCGUCGAGCCACGGCAGCCCCCCGUGUCCUCCGGGAAAAACUGCCCCACGGGCUUCCGCAGCGCCGCGUCGGCGAACAGCGGGCCGAUGGGCAGGAUGCCCGGGAACAGCUCGAACGCCGCGGCCUCGGCGCCGCGGAACGAGUCGCACACGAUGAUCUUGGCGUGGUCGCGUGCCGCCUGGGUGUUCCGGGAAACCAGCUGGUAGGCGAGCUCCCGUCCUUCGAUGGCGCCGUCGAUGCUCCAUGGCAUCUCCGACGGGCACAGCGGCGGCAAUCCCGGGGCGAGCUCGAACGAAUCGUGCCGAUUCGAGGUUCAUCAGCUCUCAUUCGCCACACAGGACACAGUGACACACUGUGAAAAUGAAUUUCCCUUGGUAUUACGUCGUGCGAGGAAUCGAGGAGACAACCAAAAUUAUUAUGCCAAGCAAACAAAUUGAGAUCACACAAGACAUCUCGAGCUAGCAAUGGUGAUGCUUCAUGGUUCAUGCAACUAACCAUACCCUUUUCGUCGAAGAAGCCUUCCUCGAUCAGCUGGGGGACCUUGAACAGCGUCCCGAGGCACGCCGCGGAGGCAGGGAACACGGCGGCCACCCGGACGCCGAGCUUCUUGGCGGCCUCUAAGCACAUCCCCAUGUUCACGUCGCCGACGAGCCACUUGACCUUUGUCUCCCUGAUGAGCUGCUCCAGGUAUCCCGGCACGCACCGCGAGAGCGCGUCCACGAACCUGCAGAGGUCCCUGCGGUCGUCGCCGUCGCCCAGCCCGUCGGGGACGGACACCAGGCGGAUCCCGUCCGGGAGCGCGGCGCUGCCACCGGCUGCCGGCGGAGGCCGCAGGGCGGCGAGCACGAGGGCGUGGAUGGGCUCGGUGUUGACGAAGGUGACCUGGAAGCCGCGGUCGACGAGGCGGUGCGAGAGCUCCAUGAGAUGGGUGACGUGGCCCUGCGCCGGGAGCGGCAGGACCAGGACGUGAGGCGCCGCGGUGGCCGUGUCCAUGGGCUGCCUCUGCGAGCUCGUUCUCUCCGUAACCUGCGCGGCGGUGAGCUCUGCGGCCGUGCAGUCGGCCGGCGAGGCGCGAGGAGUGUGUGGAGCACUGGAGCGUGACAACCUGCGGGCAAGUGGGGAGUUUUGAUGUGAAGAGUACUCUUCUUUUCCACAUCGUCAACGUCAAAUGUUUGCACGCGAGUCAUUGCUCUUAUCGACAUGCCGGAUGAAACGAGAGAUUUUUUUAUCGGCCAAAUUACUCCUAUACUUUCGUUCAAUUUACCUCUAAACACUAUUUAGUUCAACUUGUUCUUUUUUUCUCUAUACACAAGUUGAAAUUUAAUUUAUUUCUCUAUACACAAGUUGAAUUUUAAUUUAAGAAUUUGCAGGAUGAUAGUGGACACCAUAGUCUAUAUUAAAAAAAUAUUUUAUGAAUUUUUCAUCAUUAUUUUUUAAUAUAAUUUUGUAUCUCAAGGAUAAGUUUUAUUAUUAAAUAUCCUACCCUAUCAAAAUAAUGAUAAAAAUUCAUGAUAUAUUUUUCUAACAUGUCUUAUGAUGUCUUGCUAUCAUCUUGCAAAAUUUAAACUUAAGCCUCCACUUGUGCAUGCAUGAAGAAACAAAAAGAUAAAAAUGGCAUAGUUUAGAGGUUAAACUGAAAAAAAAUACUUUAGGGGUUUAGGGGUUAUCUAGACUUGGUUAUACUUGAGGGGAGUAAUUUGAAUUUUUUUAUCAGGAGUGAUAAAUGGUGGAUUCCUGUCCACUGAAUUCUCUCUUCCACGUCACCGGUAAAGUGUACGGUUUCGGAGGUGAAAAAUCCAGCUGCCAAGCUAAGAAACACACUAAUAUAGUAGAUGAAAAUUUCAGCACCUUCGUUUUAAAAAGUAAAUUUCUCGAGGAACGCAUAUUUGACAUUUGACAACGAUUGGGCACUAGCUAAGCCGGGGUGUGCAGUUCAUAAACUCAAGACAGAUGAAAACGGCUGAAUCUAUACCUAUACCUAUUAUUAAAGCGAGUAACGUCUCUGCCUGCAAUUUUCGUCCGUCGCGCUCGUUUUGCAAAAAACCCCUCAGACUUUCGUGAAAUCAACCCGCAGUCCAUCGAUUAGGGCCGGUCAUUUUUGCAAAAAAACCCUGUGACUAAUUAGCAACAAUGCAUUAACAUAGUCAUUUGUCAACAAUGGAAAAUUCAGAGUUGAUGUCAGGGACAGCAAAACAAUGGUCCUCACAGUUACUCAUAAGCAAAAGCAGCAAGCCAUAGCCAGUAAAGCAAUAGUUCAGAGUUUAUCAUAUGACAUUAUGACACUUCUGAUCCAAAUAUCACAUGUGAGAGAAGAUAAAAGGUUAUGAAAUAAGAAAAAUAGUAACCACUAUGCACCUUAUAGUAAGUUGACCCAUACAGCUUCAUAAAAACAUUCACCGCCGGCUCCUGUAAUACCGACCUCCUCCUCCUCGUGUAAUACAUAUCGGAUAACAAAAGGUAAAUAAUCAUCUAAAUCUGAGGUGAACUUCAAAUUCUGCAGUAAAUCCAAACAAUGGGAGUACCAACACUCGAGUAAACAAUCAAGGAAUCAUUUCGCACGAUUAGCCUUGCUCAGAGCUACCGAGCUAGCUUGGGUCGAAAGCAAAUGACGCGAAGGGGAAACGGACCUUGCAAGAAGCGGCGGAGCGAGCCGGGACGACGGCCAGCGGGGAGUGGUCGCAGAGGGCGGGGAAGAGCCUGCCCCGGCCCCGCGGCCGUGACGAGGAGGAGGAGAGCGACGCGCGGCGGGGGCGCGGGGAGGAAGGGUCCGAUGAGGAGGCCCUACGGCGGUGCUGCUCGAAGGCGCGGAGGAACUCGAGCGCGGCCGUGGCGGGCGGGCGGGCGGCACACCCACAGGCCUCCUCUCCUCCUCCCUCCGGUCCCCACCUCCUCCUCUUCCUCUCUCUCUCUCUCUCUCUCUCUCUCUCUCUCUCCUCCCUCUUCCCCGGCCGAGGCGGGCGGCCGGGGCCGAGGCCGGGGAGGGGGCGGCGCGGGGAGGGGCGGCUCGGUCGGCGCGGGACGUGGAGGGCGGCGCGGUCGGGUCAGCGACGCGCAGCCGGGUCACCCCUCGCCCUCGCCGCGCCCAGGGGCUGCGCGGGGGCGCGCCCAAUCCCCCGAAGAAAGAGAAGCCUUUUCCCCCUUAACCCCCUCCCUUCCCUCCUUUUUCCACCCGAGCCCCCCGUCUCUUCAGAAUUGGACUGCGAGUUGAUUUCACAAAACUUCAGGGAGUUUUUGCAAAAUGACCACGACGUACGAAAACCCCAGGCAGAGACGUUACUUGUUUUAAUAAUAGGUAAAGACUUACCGUCUUUAAUCAUCAUUUUCUAAUAAAACUUUUAGCAAUGGAGCGCAAGUGAUAUGGAUGAGAUGAAAAAAAAUCAAAUAUAUAGCUAUAUUUCUACACUGACUCUUUAGUUAAAAUCUUCUCCAUUAGAUCAUCAAAAAGCAAACGCUCCGUAUAGGAGUAUAUAUGAAUCUCGAUAUGUUAGCUUAGAUUUUUAUUCUUGCACAGCAGUAGCAUGCACGUACAUGAAUAUUGAUCUGUUAACUUCUUGAUUUUAUUUAUGUUCUUUUGUUUUUUCUAGAGUUGUUGGCAAAGAAGAUUUCCAUCUACGGACGGGGCAAUGCAUUAACGCUGCAUGCAGGAUGCGAACGGACGCGCGCCUCGUCCCAACAAAAAAGUAGCGCCGACUCCUACGCAGAUCAAAACCGAACACCUUUCCCGACGCAAUACGUAUAGAUGAAAAACGAAUUGAGGGAGCAUAUAGGAAUCAAACUACUUAUUCUUCAUAUUUUAAUUCCAAAGUUAAUUAUUAUAGUUGUACUGGAUAUUGACUAUUUGGCUGAUUUAGACCGUCAUAAAAUCCAGCUGUGUAUAUUCUUCUCUUUUUUAAUUCCGAAAUUAAUUAUUAUAGUUGUGUUGGAUAUUGACUGUUUGGCUGAUUAGAUCUUCAUAAAAUUCAAUGAUGUAUGUUUUUCUCUUUUUUCGAUUAAUAUGGAAAUUUCUAGAACCUCUCAACGAACAUUAUUGUAUUAAGAUAAUAGAUUGCAGGUUGGGUUCUUAAGAAAGUUAUUACGUGCAUAACAGUUAUUUCUCAUUAAUUUUGCACAAAAUUGUCGAGGUCGGCUGACCUCGAUAAAAGGGCCUAGAUCCAAGCAUGGUAAAACUUCAAAGCACUAGCUGCAGAAAUGUUGAGGGAAGAAUAAAGCUAGCUGAAAACCCUGUAUUUUUUAAACUUUCAUUUUUGUGAAAGAAAGGGACAUGUUUUUAAUAUGUUUUCCAAUAUAGAACAUUAAACUUUAUGAAAAUUUAGUAGGAGUACAUAAUCGAAUAGCUGAGGUGGUUCCUCAAAUGCCUCUUUAUGAAGGUGAUUCCAUUCAUCACUUAAUGAAGGUGCAUCGUUUUCAUUCACUUAGCAAGUUCACAAACUUGUUGAAGUUCUCGGACGACGAUCCACUUCCACCGAUGCACCGGCGAGAAGCAUCCAUGAAGAGUUGUGCCGUCUCCUUGAUGUCGUCGUCGCCGAGGACCUGCUCCACCUUGCUCCUCAACUCCUCCUUCGUCACGAUGCCAUCCGCGCCAGGCGACACCGCGACGCCGGUCUUCCAAACAUCGGUGAUGUAGGUCCGGUCCAGGUACUGAUCACAGAAGUAGGGCCAGCACAGGAACGGCACGCCGUUCCUGACACCCUCCAUCGUCGAGUUCCACCCGCAGUGGGAUACGAAGCACGCCACCGCACGGUGCGCCAGGACCUGUUAGAAAUGAAAUAGAGCAUAUUCCAUCACACACUCUGUCGCCAUGUUAAUUUCUAUCAGUAGCUGCAGUGACCUGUUGCUGGGAACACCAGCUGACGAUGAUGCCCAUGCCGGCGACGCGUUGCUGGAACUCGGCGAGCCACGCCUUGCUCAGGCCGACGGUGAAGUCCGGCCUUACCACCCACAGGAACGGGCGCCCGGUGAGCUCCAGCCCCUCGGCAACCUCCUCGAACUGGCGCGUGUCGAAGAUGGCAAGGCUGCCGAAAGCUACGUACACGACGGACCGGUCCGGCUGCGCGUCGAGCCACUUGAUGCAGCUCUCGUCUUCCGGCAGGAAGUGUCCCACGGGCUUCUGCAACUCCUGGUCGGCGAACAGCGGGCCAAUGGGCAUGAGGUUGGAGAAGAGCUUGAACGCCCCAAUCUCGGCCUCAUGGAACGAGUUGCAGAUGACCACCUCGCCGAGGUUCUCCAACUUGUAGAACCUUGUCAACGCCUGGAACAACGCCGGGUUCCCUACUGGCGCGCCCAUCUCGACCAUCCACGGCAUCCUCGUCGUAUGGAGCGGCGGCAUCUCGGGAGCGACCUGGAACGUCUCAUCUCGCUCUGGCCAGCCUGCAAUACGAGCACGGGUUGUUCGUAUGGUUGAGUAGAAUUAUUCAUCAACCUGUUCUCCCUCAGGAGUUUUAAUUUUAGGUGUCAUAAUAAGUAGUAUUAAAAAUUAAAAAAAAACCAGUGGCUAGUAAUCAAAACCCUCAUAUAGGAACAUAUUUAUCUUUACCCGGUAAUCAGUUUGUGAUAAACGUUAGUUAGUAGUUACUGUAUACACAUUUUCAUCAAUGUUUGUAGUUUUUCACUUUGUAUUGCACCUGCAUAUUUUUUAAUUAAUACUUAACUUAAGCAACAUGUGUUUAACGUGAAAAUCAAUAUUCUUAUAUCUUCUUCUAUAUGGUCUACGUAAUGGCAUACAUCAUACAUGCCGUAACUUAGUAUUUUCUAUAAUAACAUAAAGAAAAGGGUAAUCAGAACCAUAUGUUCAUUUGGGUGUUUUAUAAUGGCACAAUGGGGCUAAUUUGUGUUAUUUUUAAUAAUGGUAUAUGUAUAUAAUUUAAAUAAAAUGAAAAUCUAUAGACUAUUUUCUUAUUUUUAUUUUAAAUUACCUUUUAUAAUAGUAUAGGUGAGCAAUUUAGAUAUCUAAAGUAACCUUACAACUUUUAUCGAUAAAGAUUGUAAGGUUACUUUAGAUUAUUUUUUAUGAUGGUAGAGGUGGUUAGACUCUGUUUGAAAUUUGGAUCAUUAGCUAUUAAUAUUUAGCUAGCUGAUAGCUCAUGACUAAAAUUAGCUAGCUCACUAGCUGAAGGGUACAUGGAUCCAUAAGGUAAUAAAUUGGUUAAGGUGGUUGGAACUGUUAAAUGUCCGGAAUGCAGGCAAACAUGAAAAAAAAGGAUAAAACUAAUUUUAGCUUGAUUGGGAUAGCUAAUGGGAUAAUUGUUAGCUAGUGCCAUGCUAAUUGUUAGAACGUUUAUUAGCUACCACCCGUUUGAAUCCUUAGCACCUAACAAUUAUAGAUAUAGAUAUAGAUAAUUAGAUAUAGAUAUAGGGGUUACUUUAGACUAUUCCAUAAUUAUAAAGGUGGGUAAUCUUUUUUAAAAACACAAUGUAUCAGGUAACUAAGAUGAUAAGAGUCUAUCAGAUUAAUGUCGGAUAUUUAUGAUUUUUAUGAGAAUGUUUAAGAUUUAUCCUUUUCCUAUCACAUCUCGUAAAGCUGUAGGAUUAACGUGAAGCCCCUAAAGAAAACUAUUAGUAAGAUGUAAUCUUUGACUAAACCGCAAGACGGAAUAUGUAGUUGUAAGUUUUAAAAGGGACCAGCUUGCAACUAUUAGUACACGCACCCUGCUCGUUGAUGAGUCCUUCCUCUACCAACUUGGGGAUGUUGAGCAUGAUUGCUAAGCACGCCGCCGACGCCGUCCAGAACGAGGCGAGCCUGACGCCGAGCUUCUUGGCGGCCUCAGAGCACGCACCCAAGGUCAUGUCGCCGACGAGCCACUUGAACUUGGGCCUCCCGGCCGCCUCCAUCUCGGCGACGAGCCGCUCCAGGUGCCCCGGCAUGUGCUGGUAGCAGGAGUCGACGAGCUUGCUGAGGUCCUUGCGGUCCUCGUCAUUGGCCAGCCCGUCGGGGAUGGAUGCCAGGUGGAUGCCGCCAAGCACCGCCGCGCCACCCGCCGGCAGCGCCGAGAGCACCCUCGCAUGUUGCAUCUCGGUGUUCACGAAGGUAACCUCGAAGCCUUGGUCGACCAACCGGUGGGAGAGCUCCAUGAGUGGGGUGACGUGGCCCUGAGCCGGGAACGACAGAACGAGGAUGUGAGCCUUGGCCAUGCCGUGCUCUGGAUGCGCAGGACCAGAGGCGUGCUUGUUUAUUUGCAGCCACUGGAUGCCAGAAUGCCGGGCAUUGUCUCGUUGGUAUACAUGUUCUUUUAUAGUUUACCUGAACAUAUCUAUGGAUCCUUUUGAUGUUCUUUCGCCUGUGGGUUUUUAAGUGCAUUUUUAAUGUUCUUUAUUUGCUUUAACUCAUCUGUGGAUCUUUGAGAUGUUCUUUAUUUACUCGGUAAUUCAAGCAUCUAUCUAUCUAUCUAUUUGUAUCUAUCUAUCUAUCUAUUUGUGUGCCUAUCUAUCUAUCUAUCUAUCUAUCUAUCUAUCUAUCUGUAGCGGAACCACCUCGGAUUAACUCAACUAAAGCACGGUUAAGUCGCUUAAGAUGCGAUCCUCAUACCUUAAUCGCGUUAACUCGAGGUGCCGUCGGAUUUCAUCCGAUUUAACCACUUGACAGGACCGAGUUAGCAUAACCCACACGAAGGUGAGUGGUUCCAGAGAAUACAACAGGUCCACCAUUUGAUUAACCAGUUGUUACACACUUGGUUGUAAAUCAGAGUUUAACAAGUUCUGAAGAAAACAACAGAAGAUAAAACAAAGCGGAAGCUACUCGUCAGGGUCGGAUGUCCCUGGUGAGGCCAGCCAGGACAUCAAUGAUCCCAUUCCCCGCUGUCCGAGGAGGGAUCCCACUCGACCGUCCAACCCGGAGGGAGCUGGGGCGGCCAAGUGCCAGCAGCAAGCUCAGAAGCUGCAACUUCACCUCAAAAGAGAAGCCACAAACAAGGCUGAGGUUCUAAGCUCAACAAGACUUAACCGACCGGUAGGAAAAACUACUCCACCACGUCUAGACAUGCAAGACUCUUUGGCUGAGGGGUUUGUUUGCCAAAAGCACUAUGUAGAUCCUUAUUUCCAAGUUUUAGCUCAAAUUCUAAGUUCAUUAACCAGUCUACAUUUGCAACUUACUCUAAGCAAACAUAGAUCCAACUUUAUGCAAACAAGCUCAUCAUCAAGGUCAUGUCAUCAUCAGACUCUUUUAUUACUCAGUGUAGCAUAGCGAUCAAGCAGUCUCAAACUGUGAGAGGUAGACGAAUCGAUUCGAGUUCUUUAACCAUGCAUGGUGAACCUAAUCUCAUGAUAUCCGCGCACCACCGAGGGUCGCUUCCUGUGUCGGCCUUCCCCAUCAAUUCCCUAACCCGUGUCGGACCCACUUCCUUUGGUGCAAGGUUCCACAGACCCGGCCUGUGCCAUUCUGUGACCACACUUGCCACCACGUGCGGCCGCAGGGGAACUUCCUUCCAAGGACAGUGGGGCGACCGCUCACGUCUAGGUUCAAUCAGGUACUAGGCUUCCCCAUCCCAUACUGAGUAUGAGGUUAGUACUUUCAAACACUUGAUCAUGAACACCACCACUGUCGGGCCUUAACAGAUUCAGUAAACAGAUGAGGCGAUCAGCUGACCAGCAAAAGAGUUAACCAAAACCCUGCCUCGUCCAUCGUCCUUAUAGUUGUAACAUAAGGGAAACCAACCAACUCCUAUAACUCGCGAGUGACAGGAAAUCACUCGGCUUUUACCGAUUCCUAUUUAAGCAUAGCAACUACUCGACCCAACAGACUAGUGUACAUUUCAAAGGAACUAGGGCAUGCAUCUAUGGUUGCAGACAACUCCUAUACGUAAAUGCACAAUCAUGAGAAGGAAGGCAUGCGCAAGUUUGGAAAGAUGGGUUCAUGCUCCGGGCUUGCCUUCAAGCGGAGGGGAGGAGAACUGGUCUUCAGCUGGGGCGGCUUCGGCUUCUGGAGUUGGCAGCUCAGCUACAGCUCCGUCUUCGGGCGCCGGGUGUAGCUCGUAGACGCCGUCAGCGAGAUGUAACUCUACACGAAUGCAAUGCAGGAGUUAGUGUUUAGACGGUUAUUUCAACAACACUUGCAGUUUAAGCUCGGACACUUGUAGCAAGGCUACAGAAAAGGUGGGGAAGUUUACUUUAGUUGGUGGAGAGCAAGAUAAAAGGGUCGGAUGGGAAUAGACUUGUGAUCUGACCCUUAAACUUUAAGGGAUAACUGUGUUCGAGGUCCUCAGACUUAACGUAGAGAAAUCCCAAUCUUUUACACAGAUACCCUUGGGUCAAGGAAACAGAUACAGCCGAGCCCUCCGGCGAGGCGGAUAAGGGUCGGCGGAACAGACAGGGUUGGGCGAGACGGAAAGGGGUCGGGCAAACAGAUAGGGUCGGGCGAACCGGUAAGGGGUCGGCAGCUUACCUUCAGGGUUAUAGGUGAAGCUUUGGGGUCGGGAAGGAACAGACUUGGGCGGAAGGACUCAAGCGCUAAGGCUUGGGCGGCGGCGAGGUUGGAGGGUGCUCCGGCGGCGACGGAGCUUCUUGUGGGCAACAAGGAAGCUCUAGCACAGCACGGAGGAGCAGACGGCUGGGUGGAUUGGGGAGAAGCGGGUCUGAGCGGAGAAGGGGAACUCUCAAAAGUUUCAGUGGGAUUGCUCAAGUGUGCUCAGAGUAGGGACGGCGAAACAGCAAAGGCGAAGGAACUCCGGAGGAACUCUGGCAUUCCCUUUUAUAGCGGCGCGAAAGAGAGAGAGAUGGAGUAGCACGAAGACCGGAAGAAAAUGAUGGAGUGCGCUGCCAUGGCGGCGAUUGAGCGGCGAUGGGCGGUGGAACAGAACUUCGGAGAUAGCGUCUUCGGCCAUUGGGCACUGGAGACAAGGCGGCGCAGGCGCGGUUUUGCCGGGGUUGAGAUUUGGCGGAGGCGGGCAUCGUCGAGCGGCAGAUUUGACUGGUGUGACAGGGAGAACAUCACUACAAGCGAGGUUGCAACAGGUGAAAAGACAGGGCGAGCUGCGUUGCGGUCGAGCACAAAACAGCGGCAUUGCCGGAGCAUGGCACUGGUGGGGCGAGAAAAGGAGCUGUCGCUGCCGGAGUCGGGGUUGGCGAUGGAGGAAUCAAGCCACACGGCGGAGAAGCUCUGAAGCGGCGCAUGCUGCUUGGGUGCGUCUGCCUCGGAAGAUUCGGUAAAGAUUUUGGGUCCACCAGUCAGUCUCGGUUGUUCCACAGCUCCAAGAUUGAAAGGAACACUGCGGUUGAGACUUAGAAGGAACCGGUGGUUCUGGUUGGGUUUUCAGGGGUCGGGACCGGGAACUGGAGGUUGAGCGCUUAAGCUCAGGGGAGCUAAGUCAGCGGGAUUAGGGACUUGGAUUAGGAUUAACUCGGCUGAUUUAACCAGGAUCGUUACACUAUCUAUCUAUCUAUCUAUCUCGGCGUCCAUGCAUGCGAGUUUGGUUGCACACCACCUCUCUCGGUGUCUCAUCUCCAUGACACCAUUGACUGCAACAUACAUUCCAACAUGCUUGUAUGUAAUUGUGAUGACGCCUCCUACGGCCUCGUAGACAAUGGCCAUCUUGCACCUGUUGCCCUCCACAUUCAGCUCCAAACCUUCGAAUUGCCCCUUGUAGAUGGUUGUAUUGUCCUCAAGUUGCUCCGUCACUAGAUCCAUCACUCCGCUCCUGAAUCCAAAUGCUACUCCAUCCAAAUUAAAUGAUGCGCUCUCUAUCACCCGUUGAAGUCCUUUCCCCUAACUGUCAGCAAUGACUAUGAUCUGCGAUUACUAGGGUGGGUGCAAUUUUUUGCAUGUUUGUCUAGCUCUGAUAACCCUACUCGUUGUGGCGGAGGUCGGUAGGAGACAAACACACUUGAUUGCAUAUGCAUUUCAUCCUCCUCCUCCUCCUCUCUCUCUCACACACACACACAACUAAAUCUCUCGCAAGGCGCAUAUGAAAUUUAGUCAACAUGGUAGUGUGGCUGCUGUGUUUGUCAAGGUGUUGGCUCUAAUGGUGAUGGUUGUCGUGAUUGGAAUCGUGUGAACUGUUGGGAUACGAGGUAGGCUACGCUAGCGCAAAUCAAAAUUUUCUACCGCGUAUAACCAGGAAGAACUGCCGUAUAAGGAUCACGGGAUUACCACUCGACGCACUACUGGUGCGGAAGAUGUAGAUAUGCGUCGGUGCAGUGAAGACGAUCACGUAGUCGUACGUAGUCGAUCACGUGCAGCAGCUCCUCAGCAGCUCGUCCACGUGCACAGCAAGAUCGCCUCCGGUACCGCGGCUCGUCGUCGGCUCGUCGUGGCUCGUCGGCGGCUCGUCCAAGUGCUGCAGGCGCAACACCUCCAAGGUAUCCACACGUGCAGGGAGGAAGCGUCGCAAGCCGGAUUGCUAGAUCCGCGAGUUGCAACAGGCGAGGGCGUGGGAGGCGCGGCAAGUGUAUUCAGCCAAAAGGUGUAAACCCUAGGGCGCCCCCACCCCUUUAUUUAUAGAGGUUCUUGAUGGGCCUCUGGAUCCGAGGCCCAUUAGUACUCCUAAACCUAAUCCAACUCGGAUCAGAUCCGAAUUGGGCUUCCAGCCCCUUAAGUGUGUGACCCUAUGGGUUCGGAUACGUAUAGACAUGGCCCGAGUACUCCUACUCGGCCCAAUAGUCGGUAGCGGCCUCUAGCAAGACGUGCCAACUCCUAUACGCACACGAAGAUCAUAUCAGACGAACCAUCGCAACAUAAUAUACAUGCUAUUCCCUUUGCCUCACGAUAUUUGGUCUAGCUUCAAGCCGACCGCUCUUUCUCGAUCCUGUGAUUCGGAAUCCCUUUGUAGGUUAACUCUUAACCGUACGUAGCAUGGCCAUGCAUUUUCGGAUCCGAUCACUCGAGGGGCCCAGAGAUAUCACUCUCAAUCAGAGAGGGGCAAAUCCCAUCUUGAUUGACCAUGUCUCAUAGCAUGCUUCUUGACAAACCCGAAAGCUACCUUUAUAACUACCCUGUUACGGCGUAGCGUUUGAUAGCCCCUAAGUAGGUCGAUCCACAUCUAGAAUACAUGCGACAAUCUCAGGUCUAAGGACAAAGCGUAUAUGUUGUUUAAAGAGAGAACUACUUCUCGUGUUGGGUCAGUCCUAACACAUGUCUCCACAUGUGUCCACAUUAUUAGUUCAACAUCUCCAUGUCCAUGACUUGUGAAACAUAGUCAUCAACUAAUACAUGUGCUAGUCUAAUAUUCAUGUGUGUCCUCACAUGAACUCCGACUAGAGACAACUUUAGAAUAACCAUACAAGUAAAGAGUUUCACAUACAAUUCACAUAAUUGCAAAUCAAUUCAAGUAGCCUUUAAUGGAUAUUCAAUGAACACAAUAUACAAAUCAUGGAUACAAAUGGAAUAUCAUCAUCUCUAUGAUUGCCUCUAGGGCAUACCUCCAACAGUCUCCCACUUGCACUAGAGUCAAUCUAGAAGGUACCUAAUACCCAUAGCUCUUACAUGCGCAUCAUGCUUAGCCUGCGGGAGUGGUUUUGUCAACGGAUCAGAAAUGUUCAGAUCCGUGUGUAUUUUGCAUAUCUUGAUCUCACCCCGGUUAACGAAGUCUCGAAUGAGAUGAAAUCGCCGCAUUACGUGUUUGUUCUUCUGGUGGUUCCUUGGCUCCUUUGCUUGCGCAAUUGCCCCAUUGUUAUCACAGUAGAGAUUCAAUGGGCUGGACGCAUUCGGGAACACACCAAGCUCAAUGAGAAAAUCCUUAUCCAAACACCUUCCUUCGCGGCUUCCGAAGCCGCGAUGUACUCGGCUUCUGUCGUAGAAUCGGCCACCGUCUCCUGCUUGGAACUCUUCCAACUAACAACACCACCAUUUAGUGUGAACACAAAUCCUGAUUGUGACUUUGAAUCAUCUCUGUUGGUUUGGAAACUAGCAUCGGUGUAACCUGUUACAACGAGCUCCUCCUGACCUCCAUAGACGAGGAACAUAUCUUUAGUCCUUCUCAAGUACUUAAGAAUGUUUUUCACCGCUGUCCAGUGACUCUCACCUGGAUCAGAUUGGUGUCUGCUUGUCAUACUUAGCGCAUAUGAAACAUCUGGGCGAGUACUUAUCAUUGCAUACAUGAUAGAUCCAAUAGCCGAGGCAUAUGGUACUCUACUCAUGCGAUCCCGCUCAUCAGCAGUCGAAGGACACUGAGUCUUGCUGAGAUGUAUGCCAUGUGACAUAGGCAAGAACCCUUUCUUUGCCUCUUCCAUGCUGAACCGCUUCAACACUUUGUCAAUGUAAGUAUCUUGACUCAAACCUAUAAGCCUUCUCGAUCUAUCUCUAUAGAUCUUAAUGCCCAGAAUAUAUGCCGCUUCCCCUAAGUCCUUCAUCGAAAAACUAUUUUUCAGUGAAGUCUUUACGGACUCAAGCAUAGGAAUGUUAUUUCCAAUCAGUAAUAUGUCAUCCACAUAUAAGAUUAGAAAUACUACAGAGCUCCCACUAACCUUCUUGUAAACACAAGACUCUUCUUCAUUCUUGGUGAAGUCAAACCCUUUGACCACUUCAUCAAAACGAAUGUUCCAACUCCUAGAUGCUUGCUUCAAUCCAUAAAUGGAUCUCUGAAGCUUGCAUACCUUUCCAGCAUUUUUCGGAUCGACAAAACCCUCGGGCUGUAUCAUAUACACGUCCUCAGCUAGGUUUCCAUUCAGGAAAGCUGUCUUGACAUCCAUCUGCCAUAUCUCAUAAUCGAAAUAUGCAGCUACAGCUAGAAUAAUCCGAAUGGACUUAAGCAUCACUACGGGCGAGAAGGUCUCGUCGUAGUCAACUCCUUGAACUUGUCGAAAACCUUUUGCGACAAGUCGUGCUUUAUAGAUGUGAACAUUUCCAUCCAUGUCCUUUUUCUUCUUAUAGAUCCACUUGCACUCUAUGGCUUUAACACCAUCAGGCGGGUCAACCAAGUUCCAAACUUGAUUGUCUCCCAUGGACUCUAUUUCGGAUUGCAUGGCACUCUGCCAUUUUUCGGAGUCUGGGUCCAUCAUUGCUUCUGCAUAUGUCGCAGGCUCAUCAUUGUCCAACAAUAAUAUUUCCCGCAUUUCGCGGAGCCUUGCCGACCUUCGUGGUUGUGGCGGUGCUUCUCUUGCCAUGGGUAUCUCAACUUGUUCUGCUACUUUAGCAUCACUCAUUGAUUCUUGCCCGAUUGGCUCAUCUUGAACUUCUUCAAGAUGCACUGUCUUUCCACUCUUUUCUCCUUUGAGAAACUCUUUCUCUAGGAAAACCCCGUUCCGAGCGACAAACACUUUGCCUUCUGAUCGGUUGUAGAAAUAAUAUCCCAAAGUUACCUUUGGAUAUCCCACGAAAAUGCACUUAUCCGACUUGGGUGUGAUCUUGUCCGACUGAAGUCGCUUGACAAACACUUCACAUCCCCAAAUCUUUAGAAAAGACAGACUAGGAACCUUUCCAGUCCAUAUCUCAUAUGGUGUCUUAACUACGGAUUUAGAUGGUACCCUAUUUAGUGUGAAAGCUGCUGUUUCUAGAGCGUAUCCCCAAAAUGACAACGGUAGGUCCGACUGGCUCAUCAUUGAUCGAACCAUGUCUAACAAAGUUCGAUUACGUCGCUCGGACACACCGUUUCUUUGAGGUGUUCCAGGCGGCGUAAGUUGUGGAACAAUUCCGCAACUCUUUAGAUGAUUGCUAAACUCGUGGCUCAAAUACUCGCCUCCACGAUCAGAUCGUAAGGCCUUAAUUUUCUUGCCACGCUGAUUUUCAACUUCAUUCUGAAAUUCCUUGAACUUUUCAAAGGUUUCAAACUUGUGCCUCAUCAAGUAGACAUAACCAUAUCUACUAAAAUCAUCAGUGAAAGUUAUGAAGUAUUGGAAUCCUCCUCUAGCCGUCGUGCUCAUUGGUCCGCAUACAUCACUAUGUACGAGUUCCAACAAGUCUACUGCUCUCUCAGGAAAUCCUGUGAAAGGCGUCUUGGUCAUCUUGCCUAGCAAGCAAGCCUCGCAUGUCUCGUAUGAUUCAAAAUCAAACGAAGUUAGAAGUCCAUCAGAAUGGAGCUUCUUCAUGCGCUUUUCACUUAUAUGACCCAAACGACAAUGCCACAAGUAGGUAGGACUCAAAUCAUUAGGCCGAGGCCUUUUAGCACUUACAUUACAGACAGGUGAACCAUCAAGAUUUAAAACAAAUAAUCCAUUCACAAUGGGUGCAAAAGCCAUAAACAUAUUAUUCUUAGAGAUCACACAACCAUUGUUUUCACUCGCAAAUGAAUAACCAUCCUUCAUCAAACAUGAAGGAGAUAAAAUGUUUCGACUUAAACUAGGAACAAAAUAACAAUUAUUCAACUCCAUAAUAAAUCCUGACGGGAGGUGGAGUUGCAUCGUCCCGACGGUCAAAGCAGCAACUCUUGCAUUAUUGCCUACGCGGAAAUCAACUUCUCCUCUUUCCACGCUUCUACUUCUUAUCAUUCCCUGCAUCGAAUUGCAAAUAUGAGCAACCGAUCCGGUAUCAAAUACCCAAGAAUUAAUAACUGUAUCAGCGAGAAAUAUGUUGUCUAUAACAUAAACAACAAGCGUACCUGAGGUAGAAGUACUCUUACUUCCGCCGUUCUUCAACGAAGCUAGGUACUGCUUGCAGUUUCUCUUCCAGUGACCAAGUUCAUGACAGUAAAAGCACUCUUUAUCUGGAGCAGGUCCAGGUCCAGCUUUAACCUUGGGCGGUGGGUUUGGCUUGGACGUUCCAGCCUUGCCCUUCUUCUUCCAAGAAUUGCCCUUCUUCUUAAAGCUGGGCUUGUUCUGUAUCGCCAUCACAUGGCUGGUACUAGCGCUUUUCUUUAUGUCAGCCUCUGCUGUUUUAAGCAUGCCACACAGCUCAUUCAGACCCUUCUCCGUCCCAUGCAUAUGGUAGUUCGAGAUGAAGUUCCCAUAGCUAGGAGGAAGUGACGAAAGAAUGAAAUCAGUGGCCAACUCUUGGCCCAGUGGGAAGCCUAGCUUCUCCAACCGUUGAGUGUAACCAACCAUCUUGAUUACGUGUGGUCCUACUGCUGUGCCUUCUGCUAGCUUGCUCUCAACAAAGGCCUUAGACACAUUGAACCUUUCAGUCCUGGCCUGUGUUUGGAACAUGUCUCUAAGCGCCACGAUCAUAUCGUGCGCCUCAUGGUUUGUUUCGAACUGCAUCUGCAGCUCGGGUUCCAUGCAAGCAAGCAUAAGGCAGCUUACUUCGAGGUUAGCAUCACAUGCUUUCUUGUAAGCAUUCUUAGCAGCAGCGGGUGCAUCCUCAGCAGGUUCUUCUGGUAGUGGGUUGUCUAGAACAUCUUCCUUUUUCUCAGCCCUGAGAACAAUUCUCAGGUUGCGGAUCCAAUCCGAGUAGUUUGUUCCAUUCAACUUGUCCUUCUCAAGGACCGAACGCAAAGCAAACGAUGUGGUGGUGUUGCUAGGUGCCAUUUAAUCUACAACAAAAGUAAUGCAAAAUACACUAAGACAAACGUAUCCAUGAUAGAGCAAAUUACAUUAAACUAUUUUAACAGAAUCUACUCCCACUAAAAUCAAUAUCCCUCUAUUGAAACUUAUUGAUUCAGGAUCCACAACUAACAAGUCCACUAGUGAGCUUUAGCAUCACCGCUAGCAAACGAGGUAGAUCGGUAAGCAACUUUUGCUAAUCAUAUCACAUAUGACUCCUGUUGUUGGGUGACAUCUCUAUGUCUCGGCGCCCAACCUUUAUGUCCAAGGUCCUUAACCGUUAAGAUGACCUCGUUAAGCAAACCAACCCUUAUGCGUGUAAGUGUCCGACACAAACCCGUCUAGUCAAGGAAAACUAGUGGCACCCUAAUUUCAUAGACCCACCACUAAUUGUACAAGACAUGGGACGGUGCAAGUUUUAGUUGGGAGGGCAUACUAACUUAAACUUUGUGAGGGAUCGUUCUACUUCUAACAUCACAGCAUGCAGAAAGUAAAACAUAAACAGAAUAACAUUCACACAGUUGUGACACAGUAUGGCCCGUUUUUCUUAUGGUGAUCUCCAUCUCCAUAGAACCUGUUCACCAUGGUGAUCUCCAUCUCCAUGUUCCAUGUGCGCCAUCCUCCUGGUGAUGAAUCCUCCAAGAACUAGAGCAUGCUAUUACGCCUAAUAGCUAGUAAAGAAUCUAGUAAUGAAGAUUACAUAGUUGCUUGGAUCAUCACAGAUUGGUACGCAGACCAUUAAAUACAAUAAAGUGACAACACAUAUGGCUCCUGCCGUGUUGCCGUACGCGCGACACGCAGGUCACGAAUUAGUUACACACAUGCAUCACAUACACAAGGGGGCCAUACUGAUCACAAGAUACAUGCACACAUCCUGCAAAAUAGAGUUAGGCGUCCUAACGUUACAAACUUCGGAGGUCCGAAACUCCAUCUUCCAAGUCGAAUUUGGCAAAUCUAAUUUCGCCGAAAACGACGAAGCGUUGAAAUUCACGUGUAACUUUUUCUGUAGAUCAAUUUUCGUAUAGAAAUCGCCCCGAUCCGAGAUCGUACCGAAAAGUUACGGCUGAUUUACCGAAGCAUGUGCAUACGGCAAAAUCCCGACCCCGGCAGUAGAUCUUAUCUACUAUUGCACAUCUAAUGCGCCUGGCGUAUGACCCUGGAUCUCAAUUUGACCAAUCAUAUUGAUCUUCCCUCACUGCAACUGGAUUUACGUGUAUCACUUAACUCCGAUGGCGGAAACCGACCGGUAGGAGUAUGUCGUUACACUACCAUUGCAGCAAAGGCACGAAAUCAGGACAUAGAUCAAACAGAGAACUCGCAUAUCUCCAUAUGCACACAUCCCGAAUCCAAAACUAAGCAACCUGGCUCUGAUACCACUGUUGGGAUACGAGGUAGGCUACGCUAGCGCAAAUCAAAAUUUUCUACCGCGUAUAACCAGGAAGAACUGCCGUAUAAGGAUCACGGGAUUACCACUCGACGCACUACUGGUGCGGAAGAUGUAGAUAUGCGUCGGUGCAGUGAAGACGAUCACGUAGUCGUACGUAGUCGAUCACGUGCAGCAGCUCCUCAGCAGCUCGUCCACGUGCACAGCAAGAUCGCCUCCGGUACCGCGGCUCGUCGUCGCUCGUCGGCGGCUCGUCGGCGGCUCGUCCAAGUGCUGCAGGCGCAAUACCUCCAAGGUAUCCACACGUGCAGGGAGGAAGCGUCGCAAGCCGGAUUGCUAGAUCCGCGAGUUGCAACAGGCGAGGGCGUGGGAGGCGCGGCAAGUGUAUUCAGCCAAAAGGUGUAAACCCUAGGGCGCCCCCACCCCUUUAUUUAUAGAGGUUCCUGAUGGGCCUCUGGAUCCGAGGCCCAUUAGUACUCCUAAACCUAAUCCAACUCGGAUCAGAUCCGAAUUGGGCUUCCAGCCCCUUAAGUGUGUGACCCUAUGGGUUCGGAUACGUAUAGACAUGGCCCGAGUACUCCUACUCGGCCCAAUAGUCGGUAGCGGCCUCUAGCAAGACGUGCCAACUCCUAUACGCACACGAAGAUCAUAUCAGACGAACCAUCGCAACAUAAUAUACAUGCUAUUCCCUUUGCCUCACGAUAUUUGGUCUAGCUUCAAGCCGACCGCUCUUUCUCGAUCCUGUGAUUCGGAAUCCCUUUGUAGGUUAACUCUUAACCGUACGUAGCAUGGCCAUGCAUUUUCGGAUCCGAUCACUCGAGGGGCCCAGAGAUAUCACUCUCAAUCAGAGAGGGGCAAAUCCCAUCUUGAUUGACCAUGUCUCAUAGCAUGCUUCUUGACAAACCCGAAAACUACCUUUAUAACUACCCUGUUACGGCGUAGCGUUUGAUAGCCCCUAAGUAGGUCGAUCCACAUCUAGAAUACAUGCGACAAUCUCAGGUCUAAGGACAAAGCGUAUAUGUUGUUUAAAGAGAGAACUACUUCUCGUGUUGGGUCAGUCCUAACACAUGUCUCCACAUGUGUCCACAUUAUUAGUUCAACAUCUCCAUGUCCAUGACUUGUGAAACAUAGUCAUCAACUAAUACAUGUGCUAGUCUAAUAUUCAUGUGUGUCCUCACAUGAACUCCGACUAGAGACAACUUUAGAAUAACCAUACAAGUAAAGAGUUUCACAUACAAUUCACAUAAUUGCAAAUCAAUUCAAGUAGCCUUUAAUGGAUAUUCAAUGAACACAAUAUACAAAUCAUGGAUACAAAUGGAAUAUCAUCAUCUCUAUGAUUGCCUCUAGGGCAUACCUCCAACAUGAACCAAGUGUGGUAGCUUCAUUAUUGGGCAGCUGCCAAGCUUUUAAUUUUAUUGAAGCUGGUCGAACUUGUCCCAAGUGGUCACCUCUUCACACGUCCUUAUGGCCAUGCACAGCCUUGCUAUAGCCAGUUCGGCUUGGCCUCUUUCAUAUUGCAAUUUCAUCUCUAGGGUCCAUCAUCUGUUUCUCUCCUUCCAAUCUUUACCUACACCAUGGCUUUUGUAGUCACAUGCAAAGCAAUGGCUUGCACCUUAUGGCCCUCAAUGUCGCACAAAGCUGGCACACGUCCACAGUGCAAACUGUCACUACUAAAAUCCACUUCCCUGGUGUCCGAUUUAUGCACUAUGCCUUUGUUGUCCAGCGCCACCUUCGCUCUUCUGUAUCGUGUUGUUGCAAAAGCUACACAAGCUUAAAAAUCGGAUGAGUUUGGGUACACAUAUUCUCUUCUCUAACAUCAUGUCGUACAUUCAUAAAAUCUAAAGCUAUAUAUUCUUUUCUAUUUUUUCAAUUGCUGUGGUAAUUUCUAAACUCUCUCUACGGACACGGUGACUUUUAACACUACAAUACUAAGAAAAUAAUAGAUUAUAUAUUGAAGAACAAUGCAAGAUGAAGUAGAAAAAAAGAAAAUGUGAGUGUAUUUCAAUUUUAUUUUAUUUAUAAACUGAAAAGUUUUAGGGGUUUUAUGUUGAAAUAAAAAAAUGUCGGUAUGAAAAAUAUACGAUCAUGCAAGAACGCCGUGCAUUCACAAGAAUAAAUUUAACUUACUUAAAACUUUUUUGAUUGCUCCCGGAUUUUCUUCUCUAACUGAGAAAGAUUUAUAUCCAAUUUUUAUUCCGUCCCAUGCCAUAUCUUAUCAACGUAGGAUUGUAGAGUCUAUGUAAGUUUCAAAAAACAUUUUCUAUUUAUGUCACAUACCAUAUCUUGCAGAUAAUUUUAUUUAUAAAUUUCAAAUUUAUUUAUUAGUCGUAAUUGGUAUGGACUCUUUGAGUUAUUCUAGACUGUUAGAUCUUCAUAAAAUCUAAUGAUAUAUAUUCUUCUAUUUUUUUCUGAUUAAUGUGAUAAUUUCUAUACCCUCUCAGCAAAAGUGAUAGUUAUUUUUAACACUAUUGUAUUAAGGUAAUAAUUGAUUCAUUUAUAGAGAAUUGGCUUUCACUUUCAGCUUGUCAAGCUGAUGCACAUCACUACCGCUUCAAUGGCUCCACCAAAUCAAUCAUUGAGUUUGAAUCAACAUGUAGUAAAGCCUCUUCUUCUAGUGUCAUAGCCCUGUGUUUUGUUUGUAUGAGAAGUUAUAUUCUCCUUGUGUCUUUUUUGUGCGUUGUAAGUAACUCUCUCUGUUUUUUUUGCGAAAAUGCAUUCUUAGUAACUCUGAUGUAUGUGUUUGCGCGGCCCUUGCAGCUUCUGAUGUAAUAUGUGGGUUUUGCUACAUCAUAUACUGAGAAGUUGGAUGUUGGUUGAUGAUUUGCCUUCCGUAGUUGCUCUCUCAAAAGAAAUGUAGUAAAACCUCGGGAUCCUAUCACUUUCCGUAGGGAAUACACUACUUGUCCUUAUAAAAAUAAUACGCUACUUGUUGGACUCAUCAACAAGCAAAGAUGUGAUGCCCAUAACUGUUUGUUGGUGGAUCUAAUUGGUAGUGUUGAACCCUUUCACUAUCGGCAUCGGGUUCACUCCAACUAGCAAUAUCAACAUUCAAUACGUGAUUGUCAUGAACUCUUGAGAACUCUUGUCUCAACCACAUUUUUCCAGCAAAAAUAAAUUGAAUCGGUUGGUAUGGCUUGCUAUCACAGCACGUGCACACAUCAUUAUAAUCAAUACUCCCUCCGUUCCAAAUUGUAGGUCGUUUUGACUUUUUUAUUCAUAGAUAUUAUUAUGCACCUAGACAUACACUAUAUCUAGAUGCAUAAUAAUAUCUAUGAACCUAAAAAAGCUAAAACGACUUACAAUUUGAAACGAGGGAGUAUGUACAAGGAUAUAUGCAAGGAUUGUGUCUUUUGUCAGCACCUCAAUCGCUCAAAUAGAACCUUCAAUCCAGUGUCACCACUAAUUCGUGAUCCCACCAUCUUGAUCAACCCUUAUUGCUAUUCAUGAAGGUUUUUAUAUAGCCACACGAUCUAGACAGUCUGGAAAUGACUAUAUGUGAUAACCUCGAGGAGGUGUGUGAUGCGAUUGAUCAGUACCAAAAAUUCAGUCGUUCCAUGUGGGUGACGUCUAGCUUCCAUUUUGCAUCUCUCUCUAUCGUUCGACGGGUGGGGCGCUAGCAAUAUCGAGCGAGGUGGGGCGCAGGUGUAGGUGGCCGAGCAGGAUGACGGGGUGCCUUGGGCUGCGUACGUGCUUCUCGGCCGAGGGGAUCGGAGGUUCUCCGAGGAGAUUGAGGGGGGAGGGGGGUGUUAAAUGUGUCACCCUAUUGUGAUUGUAGUUAAUGAAGUAGUUGAUCAUUCCAUCCAUGUUUCUCCAACCAAAAAUAAAAAUACAACUAUCUCAUCCAUCUAACAAAACAUAGAGAUAGAAUUGUUUCAUCCCUAAAAUCAAGAUUGAUUCAUCACAUCCUACAUUGCUCUCCAACCCAAAAAAAUCAAUGGGCUGAGGUUUCAUUUGGACCGAGCUGCUGGUGCCAGAAACUUGGACCGGCCCAAUGUUAACUUUGAAAACAAUAACAGGCUGCACAAAUGUUGAGGGAAGAAACCUAAAGCUGCAACCUGCUUUAUAAAAAAAGUUUUCUUUGUGUGAAAAGGAUAUGUCCUUUGAUCUGAUGUUCAAUUUGUAACAAUAAACUAUAUGCAAGUUUCAGUGAGGUACGCCAUGAUUUUUAAUGUAUGAUUUUGAUUCCAUUAAGCACUUAGAAAUUAGGAUGUGUUUGGUUGUAUGUAUCAGAUUGUGGAUACAUAGAUGAUUCCAUGGCGUGUUUCAACCAACUUUUUUAACUAUAUGAUUGUUACUUUUUGUGGAAAAUUAGUUUAAGUGUGUGUUUUGUUGGUUGUAUCAUUUGAUUCUUGUAUGAAAUGAUUUAAAAUAAUAAUAUCAUUUUGUUUGGUUGGGUGAAUUGUACCAACUCAUACAGGAUGAAGCCAUCCUACUUAAUACAUUAUUCUACUAAUAAGAGUGAACUAUACGGUACAAGCAAAUUGGUUGAAUCACCACAUCCAGGAUCAUCCGUGCAUGCAUCAUGUAGUACAUGCAACCAAACACACCCUGAGAUGGUUUCAUCCUGAAUGAGUUGGUACAAUUCACACUCAACCAAAAUAAGGAUCACCUAAUACAUGCAACCAAAUGCACCCUUGUGAAGGCGUGCGUUGUUUUCAUUCACUUAGCAGGGUCACAAACUUGCUGAAGUUCUCACAUGAUGAUCCACUUCCUAUGAUGCACCAGCGAGAAGCAUCCAUGAAGAGCCGCGCCCUCUCCUUGACGUUGCCGUCGCCGAGGACUUGCUCCACCUUGCUCCUCAGUUCCUCCUUCGUCACGAUGCCGUCUGCACCAGGCGACACCGCGACGCCGGUCUUCCAAACGUUGGUGAUGUAGCUCCGGUCUAGGUAUUGGUCGCAGAAGUAGGGCCAGCACAGGAACGGUAGCCCCUUCCUGACACCUUCCAUGGUCGAGUUCCACCCGCAGUGGGACACGAAGCACGCCACCGCACGAUGCGCUAGGACCUGUCAGAAUGGAACAGAGCAAUCCUUCACAUACCCUAUCGCCAAGUUUUUAAUUUCUAUCAGCAGCUGCAGUGACCUGCUGCUGGGAACACCAGCUGACGAUGAUGCCCGUUCCGGCGACGCGUUGCUGGAACUCGGCAAGCCACGCCUUCUCCAGGCCGACGGUGAAGUCCGGCCUUACCACCCACAGGAAGGGCCAGCCGGUGAGCUCCAGCCCCUCGGCCAGCUCCUCGAAUUGGCGCGGGUCGAAGAUGGCCAUGCUGCCAAAGGCCACGUACACGACGGACCGAUCGGGCUGCGCGUCGAGCCACUUGAGGCACCUCUCGUCCUCCGGCAGGAAGUGGCCGACGGGCUUCUUGAACUCCCGGUCGGCGAACAGCGGGCCGAUGGACAGGAUGUCGGGGUACAGCUUGAACGUGCCGACCUCGGCCUCGUCGAACGAGUUGCAGACGACCACCUCGGCGAGGUUGAUGAACUUGUUGAACCCUGUGAUCAGCUCGAACAUGGCCGGUUGCCCCACCGGCGUGCUCAUCCCGUCCAUCCACGGCAUCUGCGACGUCUGCAGCGGCGGCAUCCCGGGGGCGAGCUGGAACGUCUCAUCCCGCUCUGGGCAACCUGCAGAAUGCGAUGCGAUCGGGUUGUUCCCGUGGUUAAGAACGUGCUCGACAAACAAGACCACCAGACGAAUCGUCAGAUUUAAAAUUUCGUGUCCGUUCUGCACUUACCCUUGUCGUUGAUGAGUCCUUCCUCUAUCAACUUGGGGGCGUCGAGCAUGAUUGCCAAGCACGCCGCCGACGCCGCCCAGAACGAAGCGACCCUGAUGCCGAGUUUCUUGGCAACCUCGAAGCAAGGACCCACGACCACGUCGCCGACUAGCCACUUCACCUUGGGCCUCCCGGCCGCCUCCAUCUCGGUGAUGAGCCGCUCCAGGUAUCCCGGCAUGUGCCGAGAGCAUGCGUCCGUGACCUUGCUAAGGUCCUUGCGGUCGCCGUUGUCGGCCAGCCCGUCAGGGAUGGACGCGAGGUGGAUGCCGCCCAGCGCUGCGGCGCCGCCCGCCGGCUGCAGUGCACCGAGCAGCAGCGAGUGAUCCACUUCAGUGUUGACGAAGGUGACCUCGAAGCCGUGAUCGACCAGGCGGUGGGAGAGCUCCAUGAACGGGGUGACGUGGGCACGUGGCCCUGCGCCGGGAAUGGCAGCACGAGGAUGUGACCCUUGGCCAUGGAGCUCUCGCGCGCGGUUGCAGAGGAGCAGUGGCCUGGCGCCUCGCGAGGACUAGUUACUUUUACUGGAUGUCACUUCCACACACCACACUGGUUUGCACCUUCCUCGAGGAGAGUAGCAGCGCGAUAAGAUGUCCCAAGUGUUCUUGGAAAACUGUAAUGCACACCGAUACUUCUUUGAUUUUCUGAUGCAAGCAGGGAAAAUGUUGUGUUUUCCAUAAUUAACAUGAUACCUAAACAAACUAAAAAGGUGUAUGUCCGGAUGGUGUUUUCCAUGCUGUCGAAAUCAAGCUCAUACAAAAACACAUUUUGUUUUGUUAGGAUAACUCUUUGACAUAAGUUACACGGGUUAUAGCUGUAAGAGACAUAAGUUGAACAUGGAUGCAUGUGGGACUCACAAGUCACAACUAAUCAAAAUUGCUUAUUUUUACUCUUCCUCAUUUGUUCAUAUUCUUAUGCAGUUGCUCGUAUAGAUACUUUGUUAUCUUUAUCAGUUUGGAUACUCUUUAGUUACCGAUUACUCUAUACUUUUCUAUCAUUAUCCAUAGCUUUUUCGUUUUGCAUCGCACUUUCAUGUGUAUUUGCCAUGUAUUUAGUUAAAACCUUAGCUUCAGCUAUAUGUUUGACAUUAAAUCUAGAUAUGCUCGUCACUUAUGAUGUGCAUGUAUACAUAGUCUGCACGGUGACACGCAACAUGCAUGUAUAUCUUGAGCUGUUUCUUUUUCUAUAUAGAUAAUGGUAGACAUGGGUAGUUUAGGGGCAUAUAUAGGAAUACUUUGGAUAUUAUUUUUUCAUGAUAUAGAUGUAACCAUGUAGAUAAUUUUGAUGCAAUGGGUUCAUUUAGGUUCAAUUUAAUAGUAGCAUAUGCGGGUAAACAUUUUAGCAGCGAAAGUGGGUAAUUUAGAUAAAAAAAUUUAGAGGAUUACUUUAGAUUUAUUUCAUAUGACAUAGAUGUGUAAAUUCGUUGAAGAUUAGGGGGUUACCUAGGUUAUUUUUAUAUUAGAUAAUUUAGGUAUAUAUUUUGAAGAUUAUUUUAGAAUUUAUUUCAUAAUGGCAUAGGGUGAGUAAUUUUUUUUAUAAAAUAACUAGAUUCUUUGCUAUUGUCAUCAAUGAUGAUUAACUUCCACAAAAUUGAAGGCUGGAUGCUUCAAAUUUUCUUGAUAUUUUCAAUACUUUAUCUUUUUUCUAUUACAUCUUUUGAAAGAUUAACAUGUAGGUUUCUAAUUAGUAAUAGUAAAAUACAUAAUUUUCCUAUGACACAAAAUUAUUUCUUUCUAUUAAAAUACUUACUCAUAAUCAUGAUUUUCGUAUCAUAUAAAUGAUAUAUUAAUAGAAUAAUUAUCAAUCAAUGUUUUAUCUAAAAAAUGAAGUACAACUUGUAGUGCAGGGAGUAUCACAUUUAUUAGCAAAAAGAAAAAAAAUACGCUACCUAGCGGCUAGUAUCAUGGGCAUUCACAUAUGAUUUUUUUCUGAUUUGGCAGUAAAUUACUAAUCAAAUAUGACAUUCGACCUUUAAAAACCACAGGAUAACAUUGGGGCUGGACUUAAUUUCAUGUGCUGUAGAUGCAAAACCAUACACCAAUUACUAAUUGUCUUUGGUAGCCCAAAAAACAACACCAAGUCGCUCUCCAUCGAGAGAACCGCGUGGUAUUAUUUGUAUCCAUAAGGUACAUGUUAGCUUUGGAGAAGUGUCAAAUUAAAAAGACAAUAAUGGAUUGGGAGUAGAGAGUUAUACCAACAAGGGUUAUUUUUUGACCCACUAUGCCUGCACGUGGAUCACUCGACAAGGACAUGAGGGGAGACAGAGCCUUCAAUCAGAUGUCACCGCCAACUCGUGAUCUUAUCAUCUCAACCAAUUGUCAUUGUUUUUUUUUCCGGUUGGAAGGGCUUUCUUGUAUGUCAGAUUGAAGGUUUCUGACUUGAUUGGUCCGUAGAAAUCUAAGCUGCCAUGCCGCUCUGUAUGCUUGCAUUGUAUCAUCUCUCUUCUAGCUGUUCACUUCAUGAAAACAAAACGAAACGAGGACAACACUGAGAUAGAAAGAAAACCCCCAACGAAAAUGUGUUUGUGCCGAGCCGUGAGGGCACGGUUGACGGAAGAAUUUUUUUUUCGAAAAGUUAGACGGAAGAAAUAAACCCACGAGAAUAUGUGUCGAGAGAAUCGAAAGCAUGGUAAAAACGACGAAAGCUACAGCUUGCUCAGACUGCUACUCGUAGUCAUGCAGGUGCGACCAUGUCCUGACGCAUGCUGUAGCGCAUGCCGGUGGCCUGGUGGAUGGAGUCGUAUCCAAUGCAUGUAACUGUAAGCAUGUAAAAAAGCUGGAUAGUUACCAAUCGUUGGUGAAUUAUUAAAGGAGCACCAGUAUUCUGAUCGAUCUGAAAACAAUUUGGUGAUCGACCAUGGACCACCAAGAACACAACAAAUCACGGCACCUGUAUGUGACAUAGGGUACAAAACGCAGCUGCAAAGGAUUCCACACUGAGCAAGCGUAGAGGUAGUCGAGUCCUCAUUCACUUAGCAGGUUCACAAAUCUGUUGAAGUUCUCGCACGAGGACCCUCCUUCGCUGAUGCACCGGCGAGCGGCGUCCUUGAACACCCGCGCCCUCUCCUUGAUCUCGGCAUCACCGACGACCUGCUCCACCUUGCUCCUCAGCUCCUCCUUCGUCACGAUUCCGUCCGCGUCGGGCGACACCGCCAGGCCGGUCCUCCACACGUCGGUGACGUAGUUCCGGUCCAGGUACUGGUCGGCGAAGUAGGGCCAGCACAGGAACGGCAGGCCGUUCCUGACACCCUCCAUCGUCGAGUUCCACCCGCAGUGCGACACGAAGCACGCCACCGCACGGUGCGCCAGGACCUGCUGCUGGGGGCACCAGCUGACCACCAUGCCCUUGCCGGCGACGCGGGCCAGGAACUCGUCGAGCCACGCCUUGCUCAGGCCGGCGGUGAAGUCCGGCCUUACCACCCACAGGAACGGCCGGCCGGUGAGCUCGAGCCCCUCGGCCAGCUCCUCGAACUGGCGCGGGUCGAAGAUGGCCAUGCUGCCGAAGGCCAGGUACACGACGGAGCCGUCGGGCUGGGCGUCGAGCCACCGGAGGCACCGGGUGUCCUCCGGCAGGAACUGCCCGACGGGCUUCCGGAACUCCCUGUCGGAGGACAGCGGGCCGAUGGGCAGGACGUGCGGCAGGAGCUUGAACGCGCCGGC